UGGGGAAUAUUGGACAAUGGGCGAAAGCCUGAUCCAGCCAUGCCGCGUGUGUGAAGAAGGUCUUCGGAUUGUAAAGCACUUUAAGUUGGGAGGAAGGGCAGUAAGCGAAUACCUUGCUGUUUUGACGUUACCGACAGAAUAAGCACCGGCUAACUCUGUGCCAGCAGCCGCGGUAAUACAGAGGGUGCAAGCGUUAAUCGGAUUUACUGGGCGUAAAGCGUGCGUAGGCGGCUAAUUGAGUCGGAUGUGAAAUCCCCGAGCUUAACUUGGGAAUUGCAUGCGAUACUGGUUAGCUAGAGUGUGGGAGAGGAUGGUAGAAUUCCAGGUGUGGCGGUGAAAUGCGUAGAGAUCUAGAGGAAUACCGAUGGCGAAGGCAGCCAUCUGGCCUAACCCUGACGCUGAGGUACGAAAGCAUGGGGAGCAAACAGG
This 429-nucleotide ribosomal RNA is filed under the name Pseudomonadota bacterium. RNAcentral describes it as "Proteobacteria bacterium partial 16S ribosomal RNA". It matches the Rfam family "Bacterial small subunit ribosomal RNA", at positions 355 to 776 of the family's 1533-position model. The record is from RNAcentral. Lineage: Bacteria; Pseudomonadati; Pseudomonadota.